AUUGUCGAAAGAUUUUGUGUGAAUUUUGUGAAAAAUGUUGGCUUCUCAACACGUUAAUAUUUUGUUAUUGUAUCCCAUUUAGUUGUUUUUUUCUUGAAAGUAAGUCUCCUGUAUCUUAACCAUCUUUCUAAUCCAUUCGUGUUGGUUUUUUGGUAGCAUUGACACCCCUUGAUCAAUGGUUAAAUUUGAAAAGUUUGUUGCUCUUUGAUUCUUUCUUUUUUUACUUUUUGUAUGCACUAAUGGUUUUUAUUGGGUAUACGAGUGUUUAGAUAUAAUUUUAAACAAGAACAGGUAGUAAGGAUUUAUAAGACUAGUGGUUGAAUUGGGUAUGCAUUCAUUUAUGUGGGUUUGUCUAUUUUUUUUCUCAUUCAAUUAGUUAUGCAUUAAAGAAGUAAUUAUUUAAUGAAAAAUAAGUUUCCUGGAUUUUAUUGAAGUAAUUGAUAUGUAUGUUGAAGGAGAUUGAACGUCUUUUCACCCUCACAUUCUCCACCUUGAAUUUUUUUAAGGUUUUUGGUUAGCCAAAACUAUGA
This 530-nucleotide long non-coding RNA is filed under the name Olea europaea (common olive). RNAcentral describes it as "long non-coding RNA (OEUR_LNC010104)". Lineage: Eukaryota; Viridiplantae; Streptophyta; Magnoliopsida; Lamiales; Oleaceae. The record is from RNAcentral.